AAGCAUCAGGAAAAUUUCAGCAGAGUCUAUUGAACAGCUCUUCUGAAAAAUCAAUGAUGCAAUAGAAAUCUUGGAUUCCAAGAUGACCUCUCCAUUUGUGAGAGGUCGUCAUUUCACCCCAAGGACAACU
This is a small nucleolar RNA of Ostrea edulis (European flat oyster), 130 nucleotides long. RefSeq annotates it as small nucleolar RNA SNORA14. NCBI's taxonomy places the organism in Eukaryota, Metazoa, Mollusca, Bivalvia, Ostreida, Ostreidae. The transcript has a single exon. The record is from RefSeq and is a predicted model, not a curated record.